AUGAAUGAGGAGUAUGACAUGAUCAUGCUGGGCACUGGCCUGACGGAAUGUAUCCUGUCAGGUAUAAUGUCAGUGAAUGGAAAGAAAGUUCUUCAUAUGGAUCAAAAUCCAUAUUAUGGAGGAGAAAGUGCAUUCUAUAACACUGCUGGAAGAUUUAAACAAAAGAUUUCAAUUACCAGGAGUACCUCUUAAGUACUGACUUAAUUCCCAAGUUCCUGAUGGCUAAUGGUCAACUGGAUAAGAUGCUGCUUUAUACAGAAGUUAGCCGAUACAUGAAUUUCAAAGUGAUUGAAGGGAUCUUUGUUUAUAAGGAAGAAAAAAUCUAUGAGGUUCCUUCUACUGAAGCAGAAGCCCUGGCAUCUAGUUUAAUGGGACUCUUUGAAAAACAUCGCUUCAAAAAGUUCCUGGUAUAUGUUGCCAACUUUGAUGAAAAAGACCCUAGAACGUUUGAGGGCAUUGAUCCUAAGAAGACCACAAUGAGAGAUCUGUAUAAGAAAUUUGACUUGGGCCAAGAUAUUAUAGAUUUUACUGGUCAUUCUCUUGCACUGUAUUGAACUGAUGGCUACUUAGAUCAGUUAUGUUGUGAAACCAUUGAUAGAAUUAAACUUUACAGUGAGUCUUUGGAAAGAUAGGGCAAGAGCCCAUACCUUUAUCCACUGUAUGGCCUUAGAGAACUGCCACAAGGAUUUGCCAGGCUAAGUGCUAUUUAUGGUGGUACCUACAUGUUGAAUAAACCAACUGAAGAAAUAAUUGUGCAGAAUGGAAAAGUGGUUGGUGUAAAAUCUGAAGGCGAGAUCGCUCAUUGUAAGCAGCUCCUCUGUGACCCAAGUUAUGUAAAGGAUUGGGUAGAAAAAGUAGGCCAGGUGAUCAGAGUUAUAUGCAUCCUCAGCCACCCCAUCAAGAAUACCAAUGAUGCCAAUUCCUGUCAGAUAAUUAUUCCACAGAACCAAGUUAAUUGAAAAUCAGAUAUCUAUGUUUGCAUGAUUUCAUCUGCACACAACAUGGCAGCACAAGGGAAGUACAUUGCAAUUGUUAGUACAACUGUGGAAGCAGAAAAGAAAUCAGACCAGCUUUGGAGUCAUUGGAACUGAAUGAACAGAAGUUUGUUAGCAUCAGUGACCUCCUUCUACCAAAAGACUUGGGAACAGACAGCCAGAUCUUUAUUUCCCAUGCAUAUGAUGCUACAACUCACUUUGAGACAACCUGUGAUGACAUUAAAGACAUCUAUAAAAGGAUGACAGGAUCUGAGUUUGACUUUGAGGAAAUGAAGUGCAAGAAAAAUGAUAUUUAUGGGGAAGACUAA
RNA transcript from Octodon degus (degu), 1303 nucleotides. It is a transcript of the gene named rab GDP dissociation inhibitor beta pseudogene, with no coding region annotated. NCBI's taxonomy places the organism in Eukaryota, Metazoa, Chordata, Mammalia, Rodentia, Octodontidae. The transcript has a single exon. The record is from RefSeq and is a predicted model, not a curated record.